UACAGAGGGUGCAAGCGUUGUUCGGAAUUAUUGGGCGUAAAGCGUGCGUAGGCGGACGACUAAGUCUGAUGUGAAAUCCCUUGGCUUAACCGAGGAGCUGCAUUGGAUACUGGUUGUCUUGAGUCUUGGAGAGGAUAGCGGAAUUCCCAGUGUAGAGGUGAAAUUCGUAGAUAUUGGGAGGAACACCAGUGGCGCAAGCGGCUAUCUGGACAAUGACUGACGCUGAGGCACGAAAGCAUAGGGAGCAAACAGGAUUAGAUACCCUGGUAGUCUAUGCCGUAAACGAUGGGUACUAGUUGGUGCGAAUGUUGACCUUUGCACUGACGAAGCUAACGCAUUAAGUACCCCGCCUGGGGAGUACGGCCGCAAGGCUA
This 374-nucleotide ribosomal RNA is filed under the name uncultured prokaryote. Its description in RNAcentral is "bacterial SSU rRNA". It matches the Rfam family "Bacterial small subunit ribosomal RNA", at positions 524 to 896 of the family's 1533-position model. The record is from RNAcentral.